GUGCUUAAUAAUUUAUAAUUUAGUUAUCUUUCCAUAGCACUUAUCAAUGUUUUUAAACUGAUAAAUACAUAUUUUACCAUGAAAUUGAAUAAACAUUGAAUUAAAUUUAAAUUAUGGUAAGAGGUAAAUAAUUCUUUUCUUAAACCAGAUUCUGAACUUGUCUCUCUCUUGAUUGCAAUCUUUGAUGAAAACUACAGAAAAACAUAUAAGGAGAUUGUGUUGACCUGGCUAAGGUUAUAAUUAAAUGGGCUUUGGUCUUGAUUAGAUUAAAAGUUAUAAUUGUAUAGGAAAAUAUUUGAUUAACCCUCUUAUUAAGUCACGAUCCUGCUUUUAGCCCUGUUGAGUCCAGUCUGAAGCAGUUUAGCAAUAAUUAAAUUUAGAAGACAUUGGGCUCGAGAACAAGUUUAAGCAAAUCAACGAUCAUGACCCACCUCAAAUCCAAAACCAAUUCCCAACCAAUUCAUUAUCUGCCUUCAUAUAAAAUUUAUAAUAAUAAUAAUAACUAAAUAUUCACGAUUCACUGUUCAUAUGAACAGUGUCCAGUUAAAACACUGUUCAUAUGAACAGUGUAAAAAAAAUGCCGAAAACACUGUUCAUAUGAACAGUGUUCGUGAAAACACUGUUCAUGUGAACAGUGUUAGAGGAAAAAAUAAAUAAUACAUAAUAAA
RNAcentral lists this long non-coding RNA (668 nucleotides) under Phoenix dactylifera (date palm). Its description in RNAcentral is "long non-coding RNA (PDAC_LNC018132)". Lineage: Eukaryota; Viridiplantae; Streptophyta; Magnoliopsida; Arecales; Arecaceae. The record is from RNAcentral.